This is a long non-coding RNA of Balaenoptera acutorostrata (minke whale), 1410 nucleotides long. RefSeq lists it as uncharacterized. The transcript is spliced from 3 exons. Lineage: Eukaryota; Metazoa; Chordata; Mammalia; Artiodactyla; Balaenopteridae. The record is from RefSeq and is a predicted model, not a curated record.
GAAGCCGGUCGCUGGGAGGAACCCGAGACCUGGGGCUUGUUGUCUCUCCUUCGUCCCCUUGGCUGUCCUGACGACUUAUUUAUGGUCUAAGAUGCACUGUCUGAGGUUACACAGCUAGUAAGUAGUGGAUCCAGUAUGGAACAGAGGCCAGUCUGGCUCCAGUGGGCUACUUUCAGCCACCGUGCUCUAUUGCUUAUAGAAAACAUAUCAGGGACUUCCCUGGUGGCGCAGUGGUUAAGAAUCCGCCUGCCAAUGCAGAGGACAUGGGUUCGAUCCCUGGUACAGGAAGAUCCCACAUGCCACGGAGCACCUAAGCCCGUGCGCCACAACUACUGAGCCUGCUCUCUAGAGCCCACGAGCCACAACUACUGAGCCCAUGUGCCACAACUACUGAAGCCCGCGUGCCUAAAGCCUGAGCUCCGCAACAAGAGAAACCACUGCAAUGAGAAGCCCGCGCACUGCAACAAAGAGUAGCCCCUGCUCGAUGCAACUAGAGAAAGACUGCGUGCAGCAACAAAGACCCAAUGCAACUAAAUACAUAAAUAAAUAAACAAACAAAUAAAUAAAAGAAUGUACUCCCAGACAUAUGAAAAAAAAAAAAAGAGAGAAAACAUAUCACAUGCAAGAACCUUUUAACUGAUCUGCUUAUACCAGUUUCUACUUCACUACUCCUUCCAACUCAUGCUCUGCAUUUCUGUCAGAAUCAUCCUUAUAAAACACAGAUCUGAUUUUCAUAAUCCCCUGCUUAAAAACUUGUGAUGGGGCUUCCCUGGUGGCGCAGUGGUUGAGAGUCUGCCUGCCGAUGCAGGGGACGCGGGUUCGAGCCCUGGUCUGGGAGGAUCCCACAUGCCGCGGAGCGGCUGGGCCCGUGAGCCACAAUUACUGAGCCUGCGCGUCUGGAGCCUGUGCUCCGCAACAAGAGAGGCCGCGAUAGUGAGAGGCCCGCGCACCGCGAUGAAGAGUGGUCCCCGCUUGCCACAGCUGGGGAGAGCCCUCGCACAGAAACGAAGACCCAACACAGCCAUAAAUAAAUAAAUAAAUAAAAUUAAAAAAAAAAAAAGUUAAAAAAAAAAAUAACUAUAACUUCUAAAAAAAAAAAAAAAAAAAAAAAAACUUGUGAUGGAGUCCCAUUGCCAAAAGGAUUAAGCCAAAGCUCCUUGGCAUGGUAUACAUACAGAUCCUCUAAAAAUUUGUCUCCUGGUUUCCAUUCCAACCUCUUUAACAUUCAUUCUUCCCUCUCCUAUAGUUCAGCACACCAUACUGCUCCCACCACACUGUGCCUUUUCUCAUCUGGUUCACUUUCUCUGAAACGCCCUGAUUUUUCUAUUUCUUGGUAAAUUUGUGUUCAUCCUUCAAUAAAUAUCUCAAACAUCAAUUUUCUCUAAAAUAAAUUGCAGUCUCCUUUCCCUA